AGCAGCCGCGGUAAUUCCAGCUCCAAUAGCGUAUAUUAAAGUUGUUGCAGUUAAAAAGCUCGUAGUUGAAUUUCGGGAUCAAGGAAUCGGUCAUGCCUUGGUAUGUACUGGUUUUAUUGGUUCUCACCUUCUAAAGAACCAUAAUGUCAUUCAUUUGAUGUUAUGGGGAAUUAGGACUGUUACCUUGAAAAAAUUAGAGUGUUUAAAGCAGGCUUACGCUUGAAUACAUUAGCAUGGAAUAAUGAAAUAGGACAUCAGAUUCUAUUUUGUUGGUUUCUAGGAUCGAUGUAAUGAUUAAUAGGGAUAGUUGGGGGCAUUAGUGUUCAAUUGUCAGAGGUGAAAUUCUUGGAUUUAUUGAAGACUAAACUACUGCGAAAGCAUUUGCCAAGGAUGUUUUCAUUAAUCAAGAACGAAAGUUAGGGGAUCGAGACGAUCAGAUACGUCGUAGUCUUAACCAUAAACUAUGCCGACUAGGGAUCGGAUGAUGUUAAUUUUUAAUGACUCAUUC
RNAcentral lists this ribosomal RNA (508 nucleotides) under uncultured Glomus. RNAcentral's name for it is "SSU rRNA". It matches the Rfam family "Eukaryotic small subunit ribosomal RNA", at positions 569 to 1081 of the family's 1831-position model. The record is from RNAcentral. Lineage: Eukaryota; Fungi; Glomeromycota; Glomeromycetes; Glomerales; Glomeraceae.